Long non-coding RNA from Balaenoptera musculus (blue whale), 670 nucleotides. RefSeq lists it as uncharacterized. The record is from RefSeq and is a predicted model, not a curated record. The transcript has 4 exons. Lineage: Eukaryota; Metazoa; Chordata; Mammalia; Artiodactyla; Balaenopteridae.
GGCUCCGGCGGGAAGGCGGAGCAGUUGGAGAGCGUGAGGGGAAGCGUGGUCUCUCCCGGAAAAACCACAAUCACCAGGAGCGCUGAGCGAGAACCCCUCCUCAAGGGAACUUGGCCUAGGGGGACGAGAUGGACUGCACUUUCUCCUCCGGUUCAUGUAUUCAUACUCCUCGUCGUCGUCAUCUUCUUCAGUACCCAGGACAGAACUGAGACCCACUGAAGAAAGGGUGCCUUCCCGGGAGGAGGUACCUGAGGGUUGAGAAGAGAGGCUAGGUUUUCAGUCCAAUGAAGCAAUAAUGGAGUAAAAAAAAAAAAAGGCUGAGAUCAGCAGAUCCUUUUCCCACCUCCCCAGACUUCCUGUGGGCCACUCACUUUGUGCACAGUUCCGAAGACGCCCGAGCCCAGCACUUUAAGCUUCUUCAGCUCUGUUUCUUUGAAGAUUCUGGCCGAGACUUUGUUAGCCUUCUCACUGGGAUCCAGAGGCUCUACGCUCUGGAACCGAUGGGAAGGAGGUACUCAGGAAAGCCCACUCCCAUGUCCCUCUCCAACCCCCUCCCCAUAGGUGGAUGCCAAGAGCAGCAAAGCCCAAAGGGGUGGGAGCAGGAAGAGGAAUGUCUCUAGUCUUGGAAAGCAUUGCAGGCAUAUGGGGGAAUAAAAGACCUGAGGAUUGA